CGAAGCUUUAGAUUCAAUUUUUAAUUGAGUGGUAGGAGAGCGUUCUAUUCAGCGUAGAAGAUGUACCGGUAAGGAGCGUUGGAGCGGAUAGAAGUGAGCAUGCAGGCAUGAGUAGCGAUAAUUGAGGUGAGAAUCCUCAACGCCGAAAACCCAAGGUUUCCUACGCGAUGCUCGUCAUCGUAGGGUUAGUCGGGACCUAAGUCGAGUCCGAAAGGGGUAGACGAUGGCAAAUUGAUUAAUAUUUCAAUACCAACAUAUAAGCGCGAUGUGGGGACGCAUAGAGUUAAUCGAGGUCACGGAUGGAAGUGUGGCUCGAAGGACGUAGGUUGUUAAGUAGGCAAAUCCGCUUAACGUUAGACCGAGAUCUUACAGGCUCUUGACACUCUUCGGAGGAGAUGGAGAAUCGAUGAUACUGUCGUGCCAAGAAAAGCCACUAAGUUUAUUAUAUGUUGCCCGUACCGUAAACCGACACAGGUGGGUGGGAUGAGUAUUCUAAGGCGCGUGGAAGAACCCUGGUUAAGGAACUCUGCAAACUAGCACCGUAUCUUCGGUAUAAGGUGUGCCUACUUUUGUAUAUGAACUUGCUUCAAAAAGCGAAAGAGGUUGCAACAAAGAGUCCCUCCCGACUGUUUACCAAAAACACAGCACUUUGCUAACACGUAAGUGGAUGUAUAAGGUGUGACGCCUGCCCGGUGCUCGAAGGUUAACUGAUGAUGUCAGCGCAAGCGAAGCAUUUGAUUGAAGCCCGAGUAAACGGCGGCCGUAACUAUAA
RNAcentral lists this ribosomal RNA (772 nucleotides) under Arcobacter sp. AM70-1. RNAcentral describes it as "bacterial LSU rRNA". It matches the Rfam family "Bacterial large subunit ribosomal RNA", at positions 1195 to 1945 of the family's 2925-position model. Lineage: Bacteria; Pseudomonadati; Campylobacterota; Epsilonproteobacteria; Campylobacterales; Arcobacteraceae. The record is from RNAcentral.